This 18-nucleotide microRNA is filed under the name Rattus norvegicus (Norway rat). RNAcentral describes it as "rno-miR-762". Its record names the gene rno-miR-762. Lineage: Eukaryota; Metazoa; Chordata; Mammalia; Rodentia; Muridae. The record is from miRBase by way of RNAcentral.
GCGGGGCUAGGGCCGGGA